Long non-coding RNA from Acinonyx jubatus (cheetah), 5206 nucleotides. RefSeq lists it as uncharacterized. The transcript has 3 exons. The record is from RefSeq and is a predicted model, not a curated record. NCBI's taxonomy places the organism in Eukaryota, Metazoa, Chordata, Mammalia, Carnivora, Felidae.
GGCAGGUUGCAGGGCAGAAAGGUCAGGUCCGAAUCAUUACCCAAAGCUCACUCAAGUGAACUUGAGGUCUUGAAUGGUCCCCUGCGAACAGACGGGCCCAGGCUGCUGGGCUAGAGACGGCGUUUCCUUGCACCUGCUCACAGCAAAUUCUUGAUAGACGUGAACUGAAAUCAAGCCUAAUUACAUGAGCUGCUGGCCCUGUCUCCCCAGUUCACCAAAACUUAUUCUUAUUUCUUUGAUCCCUCCUCAACUGGGGAAACCACGGAAAAUGUGUUUUCCUUCAAAAAGAUCGUCCACCUUGUUGGUGUGUCAGCGAAAACCCCAAGAUGCUCGGCUCAGAGGCUGGAGCUGGGCACCAUGGCUGGUCUUCAGAGCUCGCUGAAGGGGCGCCCUCCCCUCUACCACCCCUCCUGUCCCGGCCACCCCCCAGCUGUCCCCACUCCCCCUCCCCUGGGGUGAAGCAUGAAUAUUUUCACAGUGAGGUGUAGGUCUAUCUGUGGCACUGCCCACAAAAUAACAGGAUUCCAGGGAGCAAAGAGCCUGCCCAGAGUCUCCCCGGUGCUGGCCACAGGUAUGCCAGCAGGAAGUCGGGGGCGGUGCGGGGGGGACGCUGGGCUUGCAAACAUGCAGGAUGGGGGGGGGGGGCGCUGCCAGCCAGGUAACUCGCUAUCAUCUGUUUUUGCAAUGUCCCCCCUCCCUGCUCUGCCCCGGCCGUGGCUGUGGUUCAAGUGCAAUCAGACGGGGCAGCCAGCACCUGGGAUGAAGCCGCCUCUCCCUCUGCUUUGUGCAGUGUGCUGCGUUCCUGGUUCCUUUCACCGCCCUGAUGCAUUCUGUGGGUGCUCUGCCCAUGAGUGCGGGGACUGGGUCCGCCUCUGUUCGCCUGGGUCCCAGGGAGAGAGGUGGGAGGGCGCCUCGGAGAGCUCACGACCUUCCCGGCAGAGGAUUUCUUACUCUCGGGUUGAAAUUGCUUGCCCUUUAUGGUCACCGCUCUCAGAAAUGCCUUCUUCAAAAAGACAGCUUGUCUGAGAGCCAGGCGUAGACUCUGAGCCCAGUAGGCACAGACUCUAUACACGUGCUGGGGCUGCAGCCUAGGUGCCCAGGGCACCCCAGUCACAACAGUUCCGCCAGUUCUAACACGUGCAAGCUUGUAGCCUGGGGCCAUCGGGCAGGUCGGCUGAAAGGAGGUGGACACCUUUUCCACGUUGGUCAGCCUCCCAGAGUCAAGCAUCUGUGUACUCCUACCCUAGCUUAACCUCGGUCAGUGGCUGCCCAUGGCCUGUAGGACAAAGGUCAGGCUACCACCUGUGGCCUCCAAGCCCCUCUGCGCCCUGGCCCUGCCAAGCCCUCUUCCCCGGGGCUCACUUCGCUCCCUGCAGCCCCCAACCCCACCCGUUCCGGCUGUCCUGAGCCAUGUGCUGCUUUGCGUCCGUCAUCUAGGUGGUCCCAGGCUCCACACGUGAGCCUCCUCGGUGUGGAUGCCCUUCCCUGGUUUUUACUUCUCACUCACAUGCCCUCACCCUCAGGGCUGGCUCUGCUGUCCCUCCACCUGAGAGUCCGGCCCUCACCUCGCAGGCUGGAUCUGCCCCCUCUGCAUCCGCUGUCGCUGGACUCAUGGAGGAUGAGAGUCCCCAGAAAGAAGCAAGAAGACGUCAGAACGGACCGGGGUUCAAAUCCAAGGUUAUGUCCUCUGGGGCAAGUUAGUAAUUUCUCUGGAGCUUAGUUCCAUCAUGUGUAAAAUGAGGAUAUUAAGAGUAGACUUAGGGGGUUGUUUGAGGAGUAGGUGAGCUGAAGUACAUCGAGUGCUGUAAUCGGUUGAACUGUGACCCUCCGAAGGUACAUCCGCUUGGAACCUCAGAAUAAAGGGCUUCGCAGAUGUACUUGCGUUAAGGAUCUCAAGAUGAGAUCGCCUGGGAUUUUGAUUGGACCUUAAAUCCCAUGGCAGGUCGCUUGUAGGAGUCAGGCAGAGGGAGAUCUGAGAUACACCGAGGGAAGGUCAAGUGAAGCUGGAGGCAGAGACUUGAGUGAUGUGGCCACAAGUUAAGGAACACCUGGGAGCACCAGAGGCCGGGAAAGGCAAGAGGAAGGAUUCUUCCUAGAGCUUUCUGAGGGAGCAGGACCCUGCUGACAUCCUGAUUUUGGACUUGGGGCCUCCAGAACUGCCAGGGGGUGAAAUUCUGUUGUUUCACGCCACGGGGUGUGUGGUCAUCUGUUACAGGAGCCCCGGGAACAGACAACCUUUAGCGUGCCUAUGUGGCAUAUUGUAGUGGUCCGUCAGAGUGUCCUGCUUUUAGUACUGCUGUUUUGGGGACCAAGGGAGGGGAGGGGCCCAGUGUGAAGGGCAUCAUGAGACAGAAUCAGUAGGUGUAUUCGUUUGCCACAGUUGGCUCCUUCCGAGGAAGAACUUUCUCGGGUCUUUCUCCUGGCUUCUGGUGGCGUUGUUAGCAGUCGUGGCUCUUCCCCCAGGCAUCACUGCGUCUGUCUCUGCCUCCAUCUUUACGUGGUGUUGUCCCUGACGGUGUGUCUGUGUCCAAAUAUAAGGACACUGGUCAUAUUGGAUGGGGGGCUCUCCUACCCCAGCAUGACCGCAUCCGAACCAAUUACAUCAGCAACAACCCUAUUUCCAAAUGAGGGCACAUACUCAAGUACUCAGGUUAGGACUUCUACAUAGGACUUUGGUAGGGAAGGCACACUUCCAGCCAUCACAGCAGAUGUAAACAUUCUUUUGUGAACUGGAUCAUGUACAAGGACUCGAACUUCAGGAAUUUUGGUUUCUCCAUUUUAGAGAUAAAGUGGUUUUUUUUUUUUUUUUUUUUUUUGCCGUGAAAUCAACACCCAAGUUUCCGAGCUUUGGGCGAAUCAUGUUAUGCACAGGAACUCUGGGGAUGUUGACAAAACCAGAAAAACAGAUGUCUCUGGUCGACUGGAGAUCAUUCUGAGCCGAGCGGAAGCUUGGGAAACUCAGGCCCCUCAGUGCACAUUUCCAGGCUGGAAUCUGGACAGUGUUAUUCCAGAGAAUUCAAUCCCUGCCAGAAAGGAGGCAAGGGUACACCGUGAGCCCAAAUGAGGUUGAUAGAGCAGCUGGAAAAAGGGUGGGGCGCCUCUUCCCUCCCCGGAGAGAUUCUCCAGUUAUCUAGUUCGGAAGAAGUGUGUGGAUAGCCAGACUUCGUUUUAGCUAUGAGCCAUCCCAGAGAAAAGUGAAUGAAUGUAGAUGUCUUUAAGAUGUCUUGAAAUUGAAGGUGCAAAAGUACCCUGGACAAAUGACUUUUGGACAGCUUUGGACCUUAUGUCUGAUACACCAGACUGGGGUCUAUUUCCCUUACUACCCCCUGCCCCCCAUCUUGGGUUCUCUUCUGCAAAGAAAAAGAUUAAAAGCACAUGUUUUUCCCCCUCCAUAACAUAAAUCUCCAGUCUCUUCCCUUCUUUGGAAGGAUGUGCUUUUCUGAGCACUAAGGUGAUUGAAUAUUGAUUUGGUUAAAAAUGGAGAACAUCUUUGCUUAAACCCGACAGUUCACUGUUCCUCUGGUUCUCCACAUAACUUCUAUUACAUUUCCUGAAAAUCAAUUGAGUUAAAAAUGCCACGUAUGGUUUACUGAAUUUCAUCUAAAGAAUUAAUAAUAAAAACAAAGAUCGCUUGGUCCCAUAACCAAGCAAAUAGAUAUUUAGAUAUUUAGUCUGGGGAGAAAGAAAACUCAUAGUUUAAACAUCACUUAAUGAGAACUCUCUAUUUUUCCAGUGCAGUGGUGGAAAAGAGCACAUCUUUAUUUGAUAAUGAAAAAUACUGAGAGUUACUUAAAGCAGCCCAUUGAAGUACCUGCGCGAGAUCUACGUGUUUCUUGGUGGGGAGCUAUUUCUCCUUGUAACAAUUAGAUGUCACCUACCAGGUCUAUUUCAGAGAAGAGUGAUGAGAAAAUUACAUAAUAGAAGGAUAUUUUCAAUUACGCUGUGAAUUUGUUAAUGACAAUAGUACUUUAUCUAUUGAUCACAGAAAUAAAGCUCUGAAUUUUUGACUCAUCUUGGGGGAGAGAGUUCUUCUUUGGCCUUAAGAGAGAGCAAAGAGAAGCGAUCGUUCUCUUCUUAGACACCAACAGGAUGCACACAGGGCACCUGGGUGGCUCAGUGGGUUAAGCGUCUGACUUCGGCUCAGGUCGUGGGGGUUCGAGCCCUGCCUCAGGCUCUGUGCUGAUGGCUCGGAGCCUGGAGCCUGCUUCUGAUUCUGUGUCUCCCUCUCUCUCUGCCCCUCCCCUGCUCACUCUCUGUCUCUCAAAAGUAAAUAAAACAUUGGGAAAAAAAUAAAAAAAAGAAAAAUGUGUACAGGCAGUCGUCUUUCUACCAUAAGGGGAACUGGCUUUGAAAGGAACCGAGUAAUGUCAACAGCAGAGAAGAGAAUCUUCUGCAACAGGGGUUUUACAACUUUGGCGUGGCUGACAUUUUAGGCCAGAUAAUUCUUUGUCAUUCAGUCUGUCUUGUGCAUUAUGGGAUAUUCGACGGCGUCUCUGGCCUCUACCCAUAGAUGCCCAUAGUACCUUCCAACCCCUCUCAUGACAAUCAAAAAUGGCUCUAGACAUUGCCAAAUAUAUCCAGGGGGACAAAAGUGUUCUAAGGCAGGCCUGUCCUGUAGAAAUAUAAUGUGAAUCACAUAUGCAAUUUAAAAUUUUCUUGGAGCCGUGUUAGAAAAACAAAAGAAACCGGUGAGAUUAAUUUAAAUAAUAUAUUUUAACUUAGUUUAUUAAAAAUAUAGUUUUGAUAUGUAAUAAUAUAAAGUAAUUAAUGUUUUACUUUUCUGGCACAAAGUCUCUGAGUUCAGUGAGUAUCAUACAUUUAAAACGUAUCUUGGGGCGCCUGGUGGCUCAGUGGGUUGAGCAUCCGACUUUGGCUCAGGUCAUGAUCUCUUAGGGCUUGUGAGUUUGAGCCCCGAGGUGGCUCUGUGCGGACAGCUCGGAGCCUGGAGCCUGCUUUGGAUUCUGUGUCUCCCACUCUCUCUGCCCCUCCCCCACUCACCCCCUGUCUGUCUGUCUCUCUCUCAAAAACAAAUAAACAUCAAAAAAAUUUUAAAAGAAUAAUUACAACGUACCUCAGUGAUCACUAGCCACAUUUUAAGUGCUCAGUAGGCAAAUGUGGAUGCUGCACGUCUAAAGCAACCAGCACAGGAAUUUGCCCUCUCUUUGGAGUUCUAGUUCUUUGUGUCCUUAAAUUUCCUUUUUUUUUU